RNAcentral lists this ribosomal RNA (301 nucleotides) under uncultured bacterium. Its description in RNAcentral is "partial 16S ribosomal RNA". It matches the Rfam family "Bacterial small subunit ribosomal RNA", at positions 509 to 807 of the family's 1533-position model. The record is from RNAcentral.
CAGUCGCCACGGUAAUACGUAGGUGGCAAGCGUUGUCCGGAAUUAUUGGGCGUAAAGGGCUCGCAGGCGGUUUCUUAAGUCUGAUGUGAAAGCCCCCGGCUCAACCGGGGAGGGUCAUUGGAAACUGGGAAACUUGAGUGCAGAAGAGGAGAGUGGAAUUCCACGUGUAGCGGUGAAAUGCGUAGAGAUGUGGAGGAACACCAGUGGCGAAGGCGACUCUCUGGUCUGUAACUGACGCUGAGGCUCGAAAGCGUGGGGAGCAAACAGGAUUAGAUACCCCUGUAGUCCCUGUCUCUUAUAC